GCCUACGACCAUAUCACCCUGAAUACGCCCGAUCUUGUCCGAUCUUGUCCGAUCUCGGAAGCUAAGCAGAGUCGAGCCUGGUUAGUACUUGGAUGGGAGACCGCCUGGGAAUACCAGGUGUUGUAGGCU
Molecule: ribosomal RNA, 129 nt
Filed under: Petromyzon marinus (sea lamprey)
Lineage: Eukaryota; Metazoa; Chordata; Hyperoartia; Petromyzontiformes; Petromyzontidae
Source: RNAcentral